UGGAUACCAUGGAUCUGUGUGACUAC
This 26-nucleotide non-coding RNA is filed under the name Mus musculus (house mouse). Lineage: Eukaryota; Metazoa; Chordata; Mammalia; Rodentia; Muridae. The record is from RNAcentral.